UGCCGCAGCCCUCCUUGGGCGUUUCCUCCCUAGACUUGGGCCGCUGACACGUGUCAGCGGCCUUUUUCUUUGUCGCG
Molecule: small RNA, 77 nt
Filed under: Prosthecodimorpha hirschii
Lineage: Bacteria; Pseudomonadati; Pseudomonadota; Alphaproteobacteria; Hyphomicrobiales; Ancalomicrobiaceae
Description: Prosthecomicrobium hirschii Makes More Granules Regulator RNA (mmgR)
Rfam family: Makes More Granules Regulator RNA (mmgR)
About the family: SuhB later renamed mmgR (makes more granules regulator) was a putative non-coding RNA found multiple times in the Agrobacterium tumefaciens genome and related alpha-proteobacteria. Other non-coding RNAs uncovered in the same analysis include: speF, ybhL, metA, and serC.
Source: Rfam by way of RNAcentral